This is a long non-coding RNA of Magnolia sinica, 441 nucleotides long. RefSeq lists it as uncharacterized. The transcript is spliced from 2 exons. NCBI's taxonomy places the organism in Eukaryota, Viridiplantae, Streptophyta, Magnoliopsida, Magnoliales, Magnoliaceae. The record is from RefSeq and is a predicted model, not a curated record.
AACGCAAGACGAAUACUAACUCAAAUGCUUGCAUGGUUGAAGUUACACUUCAGAUGAUCAAUUCAAAUCUAAGAUCAUUUAAACGACAUCAUUUCAUUGAGCAAUGUAAGUAUAGUACAUGCGCAAAAAAGAUGGAGAAGGGGCCUAGUAGCAUACAUGCCAACAUGGUACACUUGUGGGAGAUUGAGUAAGAUGGCUGGUGAUUGGAUUGAAAGUCAGGCUGGUAGGCUUGUCAGGUGGGUGAUAAGCAUACAUUGAAUGUGAACCAAUAGUUAUUUUCCUUGCAAAAUUUUCAAAUUUCUAUUACUAUUGUGGUGCAACCGAUGUGUGGAACACUGAGUUUUGGAAGUUCAUAUCUGCAGAGGUAUGCCAUGUCUACAUAAUUUGUGGACCAGUGAGAUUUGUCUCAUGUGGGCCAUAUAUAUGCUAAUGUUGGCCAUA